AGAGUUUGAUCCUGGCUCAGGACGAACGCUGGCGGCGUGCCUAACACAUGCAAGUCGAGCGAGGAGAUUCCCUUCGGGGAUGAACCUAGCGGCGGACGGGUGAGUAACACGUGGGCAACCUGCCUUAUAGAGGGGAAUAGCCUUCCGAAAGGAAGAUUAAUACCGCAUAACAUUACAUUUUCGCAUGAAGAAGUAAUUAAAGGAGUAAUCCGCUAUAAGAUGGGCCCGCGGCGCAUUAGCUAGUUGGUGAGGUAACGGCUCACCAAGGCGACGAUGCGUAGCCGACCUGAGAGGGUGAUCGGCCACAUUGGGACUGAGAUACGGCCCAGACUCCUACGGGAGGCAGCAGUGGGGAAUAUUGGGCAAUGGACGCAAGUCUGACCCAGCAACGCCGCGUGAAGGAAGAAGGCUUUCGGGUUGUAAACUUCUUUGACAGGGGAAGAGUAGAAGACGGUACCCUGAAAACAAGCCACGGCUAACUACGUGCCAGCAGCCGCGGUAAUACGUAGGUGGCAAGCGUUGUCCGGAUUUACUGGGUGUAAAGGGCGUGCAGCCGGGCUGACAAGUCAGAUGUGAAAACUAGAGGCUCAACCUCUAGAUUGCAUUUGAAACUGUUGGUCUUGAGUAUCGGAGAGGUAACCGGAAUUCCUAGUGUAGCGGUGAAAUGCGUAGAUAUAAGGAAGAACACCAGUGGCGAAGGCGGAUUACUGGACGACAACUGACGGUGAGGCGCGAAAGCGUGGGAGCAAACAGGAUUAGAUACCCUGGUAGUCCACGCUGUAAACGAUCAAUACUAGGUGUGCGGGGACUGACCCC
This 816-nucleotide ribosomal RNA is filed under the name uncultured bacterium. Its description in RNAcentral is "bacterial SSU rRNA". It matches the Rfam family "Bacterial small subunit ribosomal RNA", at positions 8 to 839 of the family's 1533-position model. The record is from RNAcentral.